RNAcentral lists this unclassified non-coding RNA (1750 nucleotides) under Hevea brasiliensis (rubber tree). Lineage: Eukaryota; Viridiplantae; Streptophyta; Magnoliopsida; Malpighiales; Euphorbiaceae. The record is from RNAcentral.
GAGAUUGCCUUCCAAGAAAUAAAGAAAAUAAAAAGUUUAAUUAAAAAAGGGAAAAGAAAGGCCAACGAGUGAAUUCUCCCAGCAACAGCAAGAAGGGCAUUUGUCAAUUGAUUAACUACAUCAACAGCAUGCAAAAAUAAUAAUAGUUUUGCCACCAAAAUUUUGAUAAGGGACAAUAAUGCAAAAUACCAACAACUAGAUCAGAUGAAUAUCAGGAAUCUCCUGAAUCUAAAUUGCUCAUGCAGAGAUGGUGUUAGAUACUUGUUUCCUUAUCUUUGCCUGCAACCUCUCCAUAAAAGCUGGAUUAGCUUUAAGUCUUUGCUUCACAUAUGAGGCUCGAGCGUCCUCUGCCAACUUGUUAGCUUUCCCAGCUUCCUCAAUGAGCGAAAACAGAGUCCUAAGGCAAUCUUUUCUGUUUUCCUCCCUAUGUUCAAACCUUUAAAAAAAAAAUAUUGCAAAUUUUCUUGUCAUAUACAGUGCACAUAAUGAAGUAUAAUAUAAUCUUAACAUGCAUGAAGAUGUUAGUAAACAUAAUUUGGUUAUUCACAAACUUGCAGCACCAGUUAAUGAAAAAUAUGCGAACCUUAGUAAAUUACAACUGGAGAGAGGUAACACUAGGCCUGGGCGUCGGUUUGAUCUGAGCCAGUUCUGGUUCAUUGAUUCAAAGGGACCAGGCCCGGACCGCAAGGUCCCCCAGCGCGGGUCGGUUUUGAUCAAAUCUAAGAACUGAAAAAAAAAAUUAUAGUUUUUUAAAAGGAAACAACCUGGUUUUGACUCACGACCAGACCAGCCAGUUCUGGUCUGGUUCAAGGAUGGUUUCUGUCAGGACAAUUUUGGUCCAGUUCCGGGCCCCAACUGGACUGUGGCCAGGCUUAGGUAACACAACUGAAAGAAUCUGCCUCUCAAUGCUACUGGGAGGAAUGACCAUAGCAGGAAAGAGUGCGGUCACAUGAUUAUUGAAACCCAAGCUCAACUACAUAUUUACCCAAACGUAUUGGGCUAAGGCUAUAUCGAUCCUUUUAUUCCAUUCAGCUCUACCUAGGACCAAACUUUCUCUGUUCACUUAAUGAAGCACCAAAAUUUCACCACUUAAACAACUUUUUUUUUAAUAACUAACAGUUAUACUUGACCCAUAGAAAGCAUUGAGUUAACAGGACAUUUGACACUAUAAUAUUAAGCAUCUUCAUAUGUAUAGAAAACUGAGACAGGUAAUUGCUUGCCGGACUUACCUCUCACUUGUGAUUGUAAGUUCAUCUCUACCUGGAUGGUAUCGUUUACCAACCAGUUCCCUCAACCGUCUAAAUUGAUGUUUUGAAAGACCAAGCUCUUUGACAGUAACGGCCAUUUUCACUUUUCUGUUUUUGGGAUGCCAUGCAUCACCUCCUGGAGCUAAGACUACUCGUGUUUGCCACCUAAGAAUUGGUCCCUCAGCUGGUGGGUCAUCCAAGUCUUCUUUCUUGUCUGGCAUCAUAGUUUCAUCAAAUUGUGGGGGGCCCUUGGCUUCCAUUCUCUUUUCAUAUUCCAUGACUAUCUCAUCCUCAAAUUGCUUGAACAGCUUAUAUGCUUCUCCAGCUUCAACCUCGCCUCUUUCACACAUAUCCCCCAGCUCAUUGUACUUCUUUUCCACCUUUUCCUUGAUGUCAUCAUUAUACCUGGAAGAAGCUUAUCCCAGCUAAGCAUAUCCUGCAGAAUUUCCUCACAUUUCCUUGUGUUCUUUAAAAAUCCAUGUUCCAUUGCCUCCUUAAUCAUC